UACGAAGGGGGCGAGCGUUGUUCGGAAUUACUGGGCGUAAAGGGCGCGCAGGCGGCUCUGAAAGUCAGAUGUGAAAGCCCCGGGCUUAACCUGGGAAUUGCAUUUGAUACUCUGGAGCUUGAGUACGGGAGAGGAGAGUGGAAUUCCCAGUGUAGAGGUGAAAUUCGUAGAUAUUGGGAAGAACACCGGUGGCGAAGGCGGCUCUCUGGACCGAUACUGACGCUGAGGCGCGAAAGCGUGGGGAGCAAACAGG
Molecule: ribosomal RNA, 253 nt
Filed under: uncultured bacterium
Lineage: Bacteria
Description: partial 16S ribosomal RNA
Rfam family: Bacterial small subunit ribosomal RNA
Source: RNAcentral